Molecule: ribosomal RNA, 584 nt
Filed under: uncultured bacterium
Lineage: Bacteria
Description: bacterial SSU rRNA
Rfam family: Bacterial small subunit ribosomal RNA
Source: RNAcentral
CCUACGGGAGGCAGCAGUGAGGAAUAUUGGACAAUGGAGGCAACUCUGAUCCAGCCAUGCCGCGUGCAGGAAGACUGCCCUAUGGGUUGUAAACUGCUUUUAUACAGGAAGAAAUGUACCUACGUGUAGGUAUUUGACGGUACUGUACGAAUAAGGAUCGGCUAACUCCGUGCCAGCAGCCGCGGUAAUACGGAGGAUCCAAGCGUUAUCCGGAAUCAUUGGGUUUAAAGGGUCCGUAGGCGGUCUUUUAAGUCAGAGGUGAAAUCCUACAGCUCAACUGUAGAAAUGCCUUUGAUACUGAAAGACUUGAGUUAUUGUGAAGUAGUUAGAAUGUGUGGUGUAGCGGUGAAAUGCAUAGAGAUCACACAGAAUACCGAUUGCGAAGGCAGAUUACUAACAAUAUACUGACGCUGAGGGACGAAAGCGUGGGUAGCGAACAGGAUUAGAUACCCUGGUAGUCCACGCCGUAAACGAUGGAUACUAGCUGUUCGACCAACAUUGGUUGGUUGAGUGGCUAAGCGAAAGUGAUAAGUAUCCCACCUGGGGAGUACGCUCGCAAGAGUGAAACUCAAAGGAAUUGACGG